Molecule: small RNA, 127 nt
Filed under: Marmota monax (woodchuck)
Lineage: Eukaryota; Metazoa; Chordata; Mammalia; Rodentia; Sciuridae
Source: RNAcentral
GCUAGGCAUGGUGAUGCACACCUGUAAUCCCAGCAGCUUAGGAGGCUGAGGCAGGAGGAUUACAAGUUCAAGGCCAGUGUCAGCAAUUUGGUGAGACUCUUAGCAACUCGGUAAGACCCUGUCCCUA